GGAGAUGCCCUAAGUGUUGAAUCCAAAAGAUAGAAAAUGAUUAUUUCAUUUUUUUAAACAAAAAUAAGAUACGUCUCUCCACCUUCAAACCAUAAAUCAAACUCUUCCUAUGUCCAUAUCCAAAUCCGUUUCUUACAUCCCAAAUUCUUAGUUGUUCUUCUCCCUCUUCCGUCUCACUUCUUUCACUCACCCUAGCUCUCAAGUCUCAACCAUUAUUGGAUUUUAAGUAUCUCCAGAUCGAGAAGGGAAACUGGUUUCCGUGGGAGAAGGUCAGUUUUUUCUAAGCGGUGGAUUUAUCGACGAAAUUAGACGUUGGGAUCUCAAAACCGAGAAAGAUCUGCUUCGAUUCAAGUCGUGUGGUUCUCGGGCGCACAGCCGAAAACUUUGGUCGAGUAAAGAAUCGAUUUUUCUAUCAAGCAACAAUGGGUCAAGUUCUGUUUUGUUCUCACAGUCACACCUAUCCUCUCUGACGUUCUUGAAGCUGAUGUUUUCAGUUGAUAGUGAUUGAAUGAUGAGCCUGCUCUUGCUUAACUCGUCUUGGAAACUCAAGAAUUCUCCAAUUGGUAUGUCUUGAUUUUGAUGAUGUUGGUUUCUCUUGUCUGAAAGCUCCGAGUAUGACCUAUAACACCACCUUUUCAACAUCUGAACUUCCCACACCAAAGUCGUGGAAUGUUGAUAUUCUAGUUGAUACAAUCAAUCUGCUUAUGAGGGAGGAUAAGAAGAAGAAGAAGAAUGAUGAAGGAGAAGUGAAGGAAGGCGUAGCGCAUCAAUAGCUUUGUUGCCACGUGGGUAUAUCUCUGGUCAUUUUUUUCAAAUGUCUAGCUCCAUCUGUUUUGGUCUCGAUGGAGAAAGAUCAAGUGUCAGCUAUUGUGGUUGAGUCUUGUAUGGCUGGUUAUGCCGGGGUAACUACAAUCUCCAUGGUUAUUGGGGUAGUAGGUGGCUUAAAGAAGGCUCAACUCGGCUCUCCUCAGUGUCACCAAAGUCACCGAAGUUGGAGGUUGAAGCUGAUUACGUGAUGAGCUUUAGGACAUGCUCGGAAAUGAGUUUUAUGCUGGUGCUUACAAGGACGACGAUUCAACAUGAAUUUAGCGUUUUGAUCACUAGAGUUCGAUAAGUGAGUAUAGCAAGGAAUAGCACCAGCCAAGCACCAAGCUUGAGUUUUUACCAAAGACUUCUAGAACUUUGGUUUGAGAACUUAUCUACAGUUAGCUCUUUGGUUUGAGAACUUAUCUACAGUUUUUGGUUUUCUUUCUCUUUUUCAUUCCUAUCAUCUGAGUUGAUUUAAAUUUGCAGCUUGAUGUAGAAGAUAUCUUCCCAAAUUUUGGGUCAUACUUUCUUAAAUUGCAGCAAGAACAAGUCUUCGACAAUGAAGCGCCAGUCGGAGUUUCACAGGGAGAGAGAACCAGAACGGUUGUGUACUGUUGGAAAGAAAAUGGUUGUGGAAUUGUGCGGGGGAGAAGAGGUAAAGAUCAGCUGGGAACCUAUUAAGCAAGAAGAGGAGCAUUUAGAAGAUGAUUGCUCAGAAAUACGGUAAGCUUUAGAAAAUAAACUUUGUUUCAUCUAGAGGGGAAGUUUGUUUCUCCUUUUCCUUUAUCUCAUAAAGUAGAGUAGAGUAGUUGAUGUUUUUGUAUAAGAUUUGGUUUGGAUUAAUAUUUGUAAAAUUUGAUAUGUUUUAUGGAUUUUCUAUAAAAAAUAUAUAUUUAAAUU
Molecule: non-coding RNA, 1707 nt
Organism: Camelina sativa (false flax)
Lineage: Eukaryota; Viridiplantae; Streptophyta; Magnoliopsida; Brassicales; Brassicaceae
Source: RefSeq, a predicted model, not a curated record